GACGAACGCUGGCGGCAUGCCUAAUACAUGCAAGUCGAGCGAACAGAUGAAGUGCUUGCACUUCUGACGUUAGCGGCGAACGGGUGAGUAACACGUAAGGAAUCUACCUAUAAGCGGGGGAUAACAUUCGGAAACGGGUGCUAAUACCGCAUAAUAUCUUCUUCCGCAUGGAAGAAGAUUGAAAGACGGCUCUGCUGUCACUUAUAGAUGACCUUGCGGUGCAUUAGUUAGUUGGUGGGGUAAUGGCCUACCAAGACGAUGAUGCAUAGCCGACCUGAGAGGGUGAUCGGCCACAUUGGGACUGAGACACGGCCCAAACUCCUACGUGAGGCAGCAGUAGGGAAUCUUCCGCAAUGGGCGAAAGCCUGACGGAGCAAUGCCGCGUGAGUGAAGAAGGCCUUCGGGUCGUAAAACUCUGUUAUAAGAGAAGAACAAAUUGUAGAGUAACUGCUACAGUCUUGACGGUAUCUUAUCAGAAAGCCACGGUUAACUACGUGCCAGCCGCCGCUGUAA
RNAcentral lists this ribosomal RNA (513 nucleotides) under uncultured bacterium. Its description in RNAcentral is "partial 16S ribosomal RNA". It matches the Rfam family "Bacterial small subunit ribosomal RNA", at positions 28 to 523 of the family's 1533-position model. The record is from RNAcentral.